AGAGUUUGAUCCUGGCUCAGGAUGAACGCUAGCUACAGGCUUAACACAUGCAAGUCGAGGGGAAACGACAUCGAAAGCUUGCUUUUGAUGGGCGUCGACCGGCGCACGGGUGAGUAACGCGUAUCUAACCUGCCCACCACUUGGGGAUAACCUUGCGAAAGUAAGACUAAUACCCAAUGACGUCUCUAGAAGACAUCUGAAAGGGAUUAAAGAUUUAUCGGUGAUGGAUGGGGAUGCGUCUGAUUAGCUUGUUGGCGGGGUAACGGCCCACCAAGGCUACGAUCAGUAGGGGUUCUGAGAGGAAGGUCCCCCACAUUCGGAACUGAGACACGGUCCAAACUCCUACCGGAGGCCA
RNAcentral lists this ribosomal RNA (355 nucleotides) under uncultured bacterium. RNAcentral's name for it is "bacterial SSU rRNA". It matches the Rfam family "Bacterial small subunit ribosomal RNA", at positions 8 to 351 of the family's 1533-position model. The record is from RNAcentral.